CUGCUGCCUUCCGUAGGAGUUUGGACCGUGUCUCAGUUCCAAUGUGGGGGACCUUCCUCUCAGGACCCCUAUCCAUCGAUGCCUUGGUGGGCCGUUACCCCGCCAACAAGCUAAUGGAACGCAUCUCCAUCGAUGACCGAAAUUCUUUAAUAGUUCUACCAUGCGGAAGAACUAUGCCAUCGGGUAUUAAUCUUUCUUUCGAAAGGCUAUCCCCGAGUCAUCGGCAGGUUGGAUACGUGUUACUCACCCGUGCGCCGGUCGCCA
RNAcentral lists this ribosomal RNA (264 nucleotides) under uncultured bacterium. RNAcentral describes it as "partial 16S ribosomal RNA". The record is from RNAcentral.